GUUCUAAUAAAGAAUCACUUGUGCUAAAAUUGGAACGAUGCAUAGAAGAUUAGCAUGGCCCCUACGCAAGGAUGACACAAAUUCAUGAAGCAUUCCAUAUUAAA
Suricata suricatta (meerkat) is the source of this 104-nucleotide small nuclear RNA. The record is from Ensembl. Lineage: Eukaryota; Metazoa; Chordata; Mammalia; Carnivora; Herpestidae.